Molecule: ribosomal RNA, 468 nt
Filed under: uncultured bacterium
Lineage: Bacteria
Description: partial 16S ribosomal RNA
Rfam family: Bacterial small subunit ribosomal RNA
Source: RNAcentral
GACGAACGCUGGCGGCGUGCUUAAUACAUGCAAGUCGAACGGAAAGGCCCUGCUUUUGUGGGGUGCUCGAGUGGCGAACGGGUGAGUAACACGUGAGUAACCUGCCCUUGACUUUGGGAUAACUUCAGGAAACUGGGGCUAAUACCGGAUAGGAGCUCCUGCUGCAUGGUGGGGGUUGGAAAGUUUCGGCGGUUGGGGAUGGACUCGCGGCUUAUCAGCUUGUUGGUGGGGUAGUGGCUUACCAAGGCUUUGACGGGUAGCCGGCCUGAGAGGGUGACCGGCCACAUUGGGACUGAGAUACGGCCCAGACUCCUACGGGAGGCAGCAGUGGGGAAUAUUGCACAAUGGGCGGAAGCCUGAUGCAACAACGCCGCGUGCGGGAUGACGGCCUUCGGGUUGUAAACCGCUUUCGCCUGUGACGAAGCGUGAGUGACGGUGAUGGGUAAAGAAGCACCGGCUAACUACGUG